GGCGACGUACCCAAGUGGCUAAGGGAGCGGUCUGCAAAACCGUUAUUCUCGGGUUCGAUUCCCGACGUCGCCUCCA
This 76-nucleotide transfer RNA is filed under the name Armatimonadota bacterium. RNAcentral's name for it is "Armatimonadetes bacterium (hot springs metagenome) tRNA-Cys". It matches the Rfam family "tRNA". Rfam says of the family: Transfer RNA (tRNA) molecules are approximately 80 nucleotides in length. Their secondary structure includes four short double-helical elements and three loops (D, anti-codon, and T loops). The record is from RNAcentral. Lineage: Bacteria; Bacillati; Armatimonadota.